This 434-nucleotide ribosomal RNA is filed under the name uncultured Lachnospiraceae bacterium. RNAcentral's name for it is "bacterial SSU rRNA". It matches the Rfam family "Bacterial small subunit ribosomal RNA", at positions 341 to 792 of the family's 1533-position model. Lineage: Bacteria; Bacillati; Bacillota; Clostridia; Lachnospirales; Lachnospiraceae. The record is from RNAcentral.
ACGGAAGGCAGCAGUGGGGAAUAUUGGACAAUGGGGGAAACCCUGAUCCAGCGACGCCGCGUGAGUGAAGAAGUAUUUCGGUAUGUAAAGCUCUAUCAGCAGGGAAGAUAAUGACGGUACCUGACUAAGAAGCCCCGGCUAACUACGUGCCAGCAGCCGCGGUAAUACGUAGGGGGCAAGCGUUAUCCGGAUUUACUGGGUGUAAAGGGAGCGUAGACGGCAUGGCAAGUCUGAUGUGAAAACCCGGGGCUCAACCCCGGGACUGCAUUGGAAACUGUCAGGCUAGAGUGCAGGAGAGGUAAGUGGAAUUCCUAGUGUAGCGGUGAAAUGCGUAGAUAUUAGGAGGAACACCAGUGGCGAAGGCGGCUUACUGGACUGUAACUGACGUUGAGGCUCGAAAGCGUGGGGAGCGAACAGGAUUAGAUACCCUGGUA